CCUACGGGAGGCAGCAGUGAGGAAUAUUGGUCAAUGGGCGCGAGCCUGAACCAGCCAAGUAGCGUGAAGGAUGACUGCCCUACGGGUUGUAAACUUCUUUUAUAAAGGAAUAAAGUGAGGCACGUGUGCCUUAUUGUAUGUACUUUAUGAAUAAGGAUGGGCUAACUCCGUGCCAGCAGCCGCGGUACUACGGAGGAUCCGAGCGUUAUCCGGAUUUAGUGGGUGUAAAGGGAGCGUAGAUGGGUUGUUAAGUCAGUUGUGACAGUUUGCGGCUCAACCGUAAAAUUGCAAUUGAUACGGGCAGUCUUGAGUACAGUUGAGGUUGGCGGACUUCGUGGUGUAGCGG
RNAcentral lists this ribosomal RNA (346 nucleotides) under uncultured bacterium. Its description in RNAcentral is "partial 16S ribosomal RNA". It matches the Rfam family "Bacterial small subunit ribosomal RNA", at positions 338 to 681 of the family's 1533-position model. The record is from RNAcentral.